RNAcentral lists this ribosomal RNA (1123 nucleotides) under uncultured bacterium. RNAcentral's name for it is "bacterial SSU rRNA". It matches the Rfam family "Bacterial small subunit ribosomal RNA", at positions 47 to 1162 of the family's 1533-position model. The record is from RNAcentral.
AUUGAUUUUAUGCUUGCAUAAAUGAUUUUUGGAUUCGGAGCGAGUGGCGAACUGGUGAGUAACACGUGGGUAACCUGCCCCGAAGCGGGGGAUAACAUUUGGAAACAAGUGCUAAUACCGCAUAAUUAGUUGGAACCGCAUGGUUCCAACUUGAAAGAUGGCUCUGCUAUCACUUUGGGAUGGACCCGCGCCGUAUUAGUUAGUUGGUGAGAUAAAAGCCCACCAAGACGAUGAUACGUAGCCGACCUGAGAGGGUAAUCGGCCACAUUGGGACUGAGACACGGCCCAGACUCCUACGGGAGGCAGCAGUAGGGAAUCUUCCACAAUGGACGAAAGUCUGAUGGAGCAACGCCGCGUGAGUGAUGAAGGUUUUCGGAUCGUAAAGCUCUGUUGUUAAGGAAGAACAAGUGUUAGAGUAACUGUUAACACUUUGACGGUAUUUAACCAGAAAGCCACGGCUAACUACGUGCCAGCAGCCGCGGUAAUACGUAGGUGGCGAGCGUUGUCCGGAUUUAUUGGGCGUAAAGCGAGCGCAGGCGGUUUUGUAAGUCUGCUGUGAAAGCCCUCAGCUCAACUGAGGAAGUGCAGUGGAAACUACAAAACUUGAGUACAGAAGAGGAAAGUGGAACUCCAUGUGUAGCGGUGAAAUGCGUAGAUAUAUGGAAGAACACCAGUGGCGAAGGCGGCUUUCUGGUCUGUUACUGACGCUGAGGCCCGAAAGCAUGGGUAGCGAACAGGAUUAGAUACCCUGGUAGUCCAUGCCGUAAACGAUGAGUACUAGGUGUUGGAGGGUUUCCGCCCUUCAGUGCCGCAGCUAACGCAUUAAGUAUUCCGCCUGGGGAGUACGACCGCAAGGUUGAAGCUCAAAGGAAUUGACGGGGGCCCGCACAAGUGGUGGAGCAUGUGGUUUAAUUCGAUGCUACGCGAAGAACCUUACCAGCUCUUGACAUCUUCUGCCAACCCAAGAGAUUGGGCGUUCCCUUCGGGGACAGAAUGACAGGUGGUGCAUGGUUGUCGUCAGCUCGUGUCGUGAGAUGUUGGGUUAAGUCCCGCAACGAGCGCAACCCUUAUUAUUAGUUGCCAGCAUUUAGUUGGGCACUCUAGUGAGACUGCCGGUGAUAAA